GUAAUGUCCUGAAUGUUUUAACAUUUGACAGGUAACAAGGCGGACAAGAAAUCCACCACCAAGCAACCUCAGAGUCCUAAGGAGCAGCCGAAGAAAGGUGAUCAGAAAGGAGAUGAUGCCAAAAAGCAAGGAGGACAGCCGAAGGGAGAGAAGCAAUAAUUUCCAGGCCUUCGUGAAGCUGGCUCUGGAGACUCUCCUGGGCUCUUGUCGACGCAAGCAUGGGGGCCCCCAGGGUAGACAGGGCUGAGGUUUGCUCCUCCCACCACCCAGCAUCCAUCAGACCUUCGCUAAGCCUCUGUAGUCUGUCCCUACUGUACCUCCUCACAUGGGUCUCAGGUUUGAAUAACGCUGCUGAUUUGCUCAUUGGAAGUUGGGCCAAUAUAAAGACUCCUGAGACUCUGUGACCCUGCCCUCAUCUGUUCAUUUGACUCCGCCCGUGUCAUAGAUCUCAACUGUGACGUACAUAAAUGAACUGAUUUGCAAAUAAACAUGAUUUCAUACGCUUGC
Long non-coding RNA from Sinocyclocheilus grahami, 507 nucleotides. RefSeq lists it as uncharacterized. The record is from RefSeq and is a predicted model, not a curated record. The transcript is spliced from 3 exons. Lineage: Eukaryota; Metazoa; Chordata; Actinopteri; Cypriniformes; Cyprinidae.